Molecule: unclassified non-coding RNA, 50 nt
Filed under: Crithidia fasciculata
Lineage: Eukaryota; Euglenozoa; Kinetoplastea; Trypanosomatida; Trypanosomatidae
Source: RNAcentral
GAGCCACGGUUCUAGAUCGAACCAUGUGUAUAGUACAGGCAUAACUAUUU